This is a long non-coding RNA of Myiozetetes cayanensis, 752 nucleotides long. RefSeq lists it as uncharacterized. The transcript is spliced from 3 exons. The record is from RefSeq and is a predicted model, not a curated record. Lineage: Eukaryota; Metazoa; Chordata; Aves; Passeriformes; Tyrannidae.
CUUCAAGAUAUCCAAACACUGUUAUAAGUCAUGGUGAAGAAAACAAUGAGUGAAGAAACUUCAUUUCUUGCUUUAGUACUUCAAAGCUUUUCUCACCUUUUGAGAUGAAACUUGAGAUAUUUGAGGAUGCUGCGACUUGGCAGAAAUGUGCAGCUCAUGCAGGCAUAAAAGCAGCAAGGCUUUAUGUGAGUUCAAGUAAUACUGAGUGCAAGCAAGCCCCUCCAGGUCUCCCAUCCAAGCUCGUGUCAUACCCUGCUUCCUGAAGACAAGUACCUUGUACAGGACUUCUUCAAGCAGCUUUUUUUCAGUACUGUUGCAACUUGCAUGCAACUGAAUCUGUUUUUCCUGAAAUCACUUCCCCAAAUGCUACCUGGUACCCCAACUCCAAACACAUGCACAGAGAAGAACUUUGCUUAUAAAUGGCAUCCAAGGCCAUGCACCGAACUCCUCUAAGCAUCGUGCAGUUCUGCAUUAUAACAGUUAAAACCAUAUUUGUGCAGAAGCCCAGAACUGCAAGUAGCAUCUGAGCUACCUCUGACUCUAAUGCACUCACCCCAGUGGCAUCUAGAUGGCAACAGACAACUAUUUCCAUAUGUACUCUAAGCAAAUCAAGCUACACAAUGCAGACUUUUCUCAGAACAGCUACAGUGACUCUACAGGGGCACAGCAAGGGAAAAAAAAAUCAGAAAGCACAUAUCAUUUAUUAGAUAAUAAAACCAGUGAUACUUACGGAAGACUGAGCUCCCUCAGAG